CCCAUAGUAAACUUCGCUUGCUUUAUCUCCUUUGCAACUCCGUAGACAGUUCCCUGGCAAAAUGAAGUACCAGAACCCUGAAGAGAUGCCAUAGAUUUUACAUGACCCCUGUGAAACAGAUGCUUUUUGGAGGACUGGUGGGCAAUUAUGUAGUCCCUGUGAUGUGGACUGUUUCUCUUUGUUGAAGAAUCUAGCUUAUAUAGUACUGGACCUCUUCAGGCAAGCACAGAAGAAAAGCAAAAACUACCUGUUGUAAUUUUUGAAGAUUCUAUUAGUUUAUUACAGUAGUUUAUAUAUAAUAGAGUAAAAUAAAUUCCUCUGUUGGGUUAUAGAUUUUGUCAGUUUCUCCUUAAGGGUUGAGAAUAUACUGUGAAGCUAGACAUGAUGGCACAUGCCUGUAAUCCCAGCACUCAGGAGG
Chinchilla lanigera (long-tailed chinchilla) is the source of this 418-nucleotide long non-coding RNA. RefSeq lists it as uncharacterized. The record is from RefSeq and is a predicted model, not a curated record. Lineage: Eukaryota; Metazoa; Chordata; Mammalia; Rodentia; Chinchillidae. The transcript is spliced from 3 exons.